Non-coding RNA from Potamilus streckersoni, 78 nucleotides. NCBI's taxonomy places the organism in Eukaryota, Metazoa, Mollusca, Bivalvia, Unionida, Unionidae. The record is from the annotation of a GenBank genome assembly.
GACCACUCCAGUGGCCUAGUGGUUAGAGCAUUUGCCUCAGAUGCAGAAGCUUAUGGGUUCAAACCCCUGGCUGAGUCA